Non-coding RNA from Caenorhabditis elegans, 55 nucleotides. The record is from Ensembl. Lineage: Eukaryota; Metazoa; Nematoda; Chromadorea; Rhabditida; Rhabditidae.
UUGGUCUGCUAGACUACAAACUACACAUUUCGAUUUAGCAGACCAAUAUAAAAAU